CUUCUCGUCGACAAAUAAUACUAAUCUUGUCUAGUACCGCCUUGGUUUCACCGGCUCUCUAGUACAAGGUUAUUAUUAUUUGGCACGAUAAGCCCUUAGCACCAUAUUGAUUAGAGCGUGGUUCAUGAGGUGUGGAUUCCCCCCUCAUGAUUUAAUUGGCAUUAAUACGGAUUAUUUAGCCCAUGAUGCAUGUUGAUACGGAUCCAGAUACCCAAGUACGUCAUUUCAAUAGAAUUCUCUUCAAUUUAUUCUCGCCAUUGCAAUUCCAAUUUUAGAAUUUAUUAUCGCCAUCUCAAUUCCAAUUUUAGGAUAAUUUAAAUCAUUUCCACCACAAUUUCAACCACAUAUUUACAAAAUUAAUUCUACAUAUAAUUAAAAUUCACCUCCUCGUGGGAUCGACACUCGUCACCAUUGAUCUAUACUACAAUAGAUUCGUGCGCUUGCGAGUACAUUAAAAUUUGCACAACAAGUUUUUGGCGCCGUUGCCGGGGAGGUAAGUAAUUUUAAUUCAUAGAAUUAAUUUUUGUGAAUAAUUUCUUUUAAAUUGUUUUCUUGUAUUUUAUUUUUUUAUUAAAGAAAAAAAGAGUGAAUUUACAUUUUGAGUUAAGAAUUUUAUUUUAUUUUUCUCUUCUUUAAAAUUCUGUAAUUUAAUUUUCAAUUUAUUUUUCUUUGUAAUUUUUUUUUGUUUAUCUUAUUAAUUUAUUUUUAGUUAAUUUAUUUCACGUAUUUGUUUUUGUAUAUUUUAUAGAAAGGUUUUAAUAGCGCAAUAAGGUUAGUAUCGUAAUUUCUCCCUCUUGUUUAUUUUUAUUUGUUUUGUUCCCAUCUUUAUUUUUUAUUUUUUAUUUUAUUUGUUUUGCAUGCAUGGUCGAAGGUCAUUAUUACCCAAUCUUGAACCUAUAGACCUUGAACUUGAGAAAACACUUCGCACACACAAACAAGUAAAAAAUAAAAUGGAUUUGCAACCACAGGAGAGGCCAUUUAAGGAUUAUUUCAGUCCUUUAGCAAAUUUGAGCACAUCAUGUAUAAGAUACCCAAAUGUAGCUGCUAGGAGCUUUGAAUUAAAACCUAGUGUGCUAAAUUGUCUCCCCACAUUUUAUGGCCUAGAAAAUGAGGACCCAUAUAAUCAUCUGAAUGAUUUUCAUGCUAUUUGUCAAACUUUUAAAUACGAGAAUUUUUCAGACAAUGAUGUUAAACUUAGAUUAUUCCCAUUUUCUUUAAAGGAUAGAGCUCGUUCAUGGUUAAAUACUUUACCUGCUAAUAGCAUCACAUCAUGGGAACAAAUGGUAACUAAAUUUUUGAAUAAAUAUUUCCCAGUGCAUAAAACCAAUGCUAUUCGCAGGGAAAUCUCGGAGUUUACCCAGAGAGAGGACGAGCAAUUUUUCGAAACAUGGGAGCGAUUCAAUGGGCUACUCUUGAAGUGUCCACAUCAUGGGUACGAGAAAUGGCACCAAUGUCAAUACUUUUUGGAGGGAUUACUACCGAAUGUGCAAGAAUGGCUAAUGGCAACAAGUGGAGGAGAGCUAAUGUCAAAAAGUGCAUCAGAAAUUUGGGAAUUCUUCCAGCGACAAGCGGAUAAUUCCCAACAACGGAGUCGAUCAAUCAGGAAUACUAGAAGAAUUAAGGGAGUAAAUGAGGUUCAAAUUGGCGAGUCAACUUCGGGAAUCAAAGAAGUCAAGGAGAUGGUUGAAGGUCUUGCUCGACAAAUAGCAUCGUUAUCGACUGCUAAAUCAACAGAGCCACAUGACCAUGACUCAUACUCAGAUCAAGCCAAUGCCAUAGGUGUAAUGAGAAAAUCAUCUAAUUACAACCCAUACUCCAACACAUAUAACCCUGGAUGGAGAGACCACCCCAAUUUUUCAUGGUCUCAAGGACUCCAACAGAAUGGACCAGUAGCUCCAGCUCCACCAAUGCAACAAAUUCCUCAAGUUCCUCAAGCCUCUCAGCCCCCAUUUAGACCAUACAAUCAGAACCAGAACUACUCUCAACCCAGACCAUGGGAGGAUGCAUUCCAAAAUUUCAAGAAUGUUACUCACUCCACGAUUGAGCAACAAAACCGCACCAUUGAUGGACUACGAAAUGAGUUGAGAGCAGGCUUCAAUUCACAAGCUCAAUCAGUUUCAAGCCUUGAGAAGAUGGUGGGACAGCUUGCUUCUUCAGUUCAGACCUUGGCAAUGAUUGUUGAGAAAGGUAAGUUUCCAAGUCAACCAGUGCCUAAUCCUAAAGGAGUAUAUGAAGCAAGUACCAGUUCACCACAACAGCAUGGAGAGGUCAAAGCAGUAAUGACCUUGCGAAAAGGAAAAGAAGUCGACAACAAAGUGGAGAUGCCAGUGACAAAAGAAAAUCAAAUUGUUCCUGUGAGUGUUGAGGACUCGUCACCGGAGGAGAAAGAAGAAACCAACCCACGAGAAUAUGUUCCGAAAGCUCCAUUUCCUCAGCGGUUAGCUAAAGGCAAGAAGGGAAAAUCCACAGGUGAGAUUCUUGAAAUCUUCAAACAGGUAAGUGUUAACAUCCCUUUGCUUAAUGCUAUUAAACAAGUUCCAUCUUAUGCGAAGUUUCUUAAAGACCUUUGUAUUAAAAAGAGAAAUAUGCAUGUUCAAAAGAAGGCAUUUUUAACAGAAAACGUUAGUUCUAUACUCCAACAUAAAAUUCCUUUAAAAUGCAAAGACCCAGGCUCCCCCACUAUCUCAUGUAGUAUAGGGAACCACACAAUUGAGAAUGCUUUGUUGGAUUUAUGAGCUAGUGUAAAUUUGUUGCCUUAUUCAGUGUUUGUGAAACUUGGACUUGGAGAAUUACACCCAACUCCAGUGGUGUUACAACUCGCAGAUCGGUCCACGAAAAUACCUCGUGGUAUUGUGGAGGACGUGCUUAUCCAGGUAGACAAGUUUUAUUUUCCUGUUGAUUUCAUUGUAAUUGACACUCAACCAAUACAGGAUUCAAGGAAGCACAUCCCCAUUAUUCUAGGCCGACCUUUCUUGGCAACUGCGGAUGCUCACAUUCAAUGCAGGACUGGAAAUAUGCAGUUGUCCUUCGGCAACAUGACUAUGGAGCUGAACAUCUUCAACAUUGCCAAACAACCUCAUAAUGCAGAUGAUGGAAUUGUUGAUGUGGAUUUAAUAGAAACAAUAGUUGAUAACACUUUUCUUUCAAACCUUAGUGAUGAUCCUUUACAAACAUGUUUAACUCACUUUGGUUUGGAUUUUGAUAUUGACAGAUCGGUCGAUGAAGUCAACGCCCUGCUUGACUCAGCACCAUCUAUGGACACUAAUAAAUGAAAGUCAAGAGUUGAGCAACUAGCACCAUCAGAGAAGAAACUUAUCCCAUCAUCAGAAUCACCACCGAAACUCGAGCUCAAACCAUUACCCAACACUCUGGAAUAUGCAUUUUUGGGAGAAGAAAGUACUCUACCGGUAAUCAUCUCAUCAUCCCUAAAUGACGAACAAAAAGGUAAGUUGUUGGAUGUUUUAAAAGAGCACAAAGGAGCAUUAGGAUGGACCAUAGCAGACAUAAAAGGUAUAAAUCCAGUAGACUGCAUGCAUUACAUUCACCUUGAUGAAAAUGCUAAAUCUACUAGGGAAAUGCAACGUCGGUUAAAUCCUAAUAUGAAAGAAGUUGUUAGAACAGAAGUCCUUAAGCUAUUAGAUGCUGGUAUCAUUUACCCCAUUUCUGAUAGUUCAUGGGUCAGUCCUGUACAAGUUGUCCCUAAAAAGUCAGGAGUCACAGUAGUUACCAAUGCUGAUAAUGAAUUGAUACCCACUAGAGUAACUACAGGAUGACGUGUAUGCAUUGAUUAUAGGAAGUUGAAUUCUGUCACACGUAAAGACCAUUUUCCUUUACCAUUUAUUGAUCAAAUGCUUGAUAGAUUAGCAGGCCAUGAAUUUUAUUGCUUUCUAGAUGGCUACUCAGGAUAUAAUCAGAUUCCCAUAGCACCAAAAGAUCAAGAGAAAACUACUUUCACUUGCCCUUUUGGCACAUUUGCAUAUAGGAGAAUGCCAUUUGGAUUAUGCAAUGCACCUGCUACAUUUCAACGAUGCAUGUUGAGCAUUUUUUCUAAUAUGGUUGAACGAUUCUUUGAAGUCUUUAUGGAUGAUUUUUCUGUCUUUGGUGACUCAUUUGAUCAAUGUUUACAUCAUCUAACACUAGUUCUGCAGAGAUGUGUCAAGAAGAACUUGGUAUUAAAUUGGGAGAAAUGCCAUUUUAUGGUAAAACAAGGUAUUGUUCUCGGUCACAUCAUUUCGAGCAAAGGUAUUGAGGUUGACAAAGCCAAGGUGGAUCUCAUUUCUAAUCUUCCUCCACCCAAAACAGUCAGAGAAGUAAGAUCUUUCCUUGGGCAUGCUGGUUUCUAUAGACGUUUCAUUAAAGAUUUUAGCAAAGUUUCUAGACCCUUAUGCAAUUUACUUGCUAAGGAUGUACCUUUUAUCUUUAAUGAUUCAUGUCUUAUGGCGUUUGAAAAAUUAAAACAGUUGUUGACAUCAUCACCCAUCAUUCAGGCCCCGAACUGGAGCUUACCAUUUGAACUCAUGUGUGAUGCAUCUGAUUAUGCAGUAGGAGCAGUAUUAGGACAAAGAGUUGAUCGAAUUCCCCAUGUUAUUUAUUAUGCUAGUAUGACAUUGAAUGAUGCACAGUUGAACUAUUCAACUACUGAAAAAGAAAUGCUAGUAGUAGUGUUUGCAUUGGAAAAAUUUCGAUCAUAUCUCAUUGGUUGUAAAAUAAUUAUAUUCACGGAUCAUGCUGCUCUUAAAUAUCUUCUCACAAAGAAAGAUGCAAAAGCCAGACUAAUUCGUUGGGUGUUACUUUUGCAGGAGUUUGACUUGGAAUUCAAAGAUAAGAAAGGCACAGAGAAUGUUGUGGCGGACCAUCUCUCUCGUCUCCAUUUUGACACAAUUACAGAAUCAUUACCAUUGAAUGAGUCAUUUCCAGAUGAACAAUUAAUGAAUGUGGAAGUAUUACCUUGGUAUGCUGAUAUAGUUAAUUAUCUUGUUACAUGUAAACUUCCAGAGCAUUGGACCAAGCAAGACAAGGCUAAAUUCUUUGCAGAAAUAAAGAAUUUCUUUUGGGAUGACCCGUAUUUGUUCAAGUAUUGUGCAGACCAAAUUGUUAGACGAUGUGUCCCAGAAAGUGAAAUUCAAGAUAUCCUUUCAUUCUGCCAUGAACAAGCUUGUAGAGGCCAUUUCAGUGCUAAGAAAACAGCAACUAAAGUUUUACAAUGUGGUUUCUAUUGGCCAACUAUAUUUCGAGACGCUUACACUUUCUGUUCUUCAUGUGAUAGGUGUCAACGAAUGGGGAGCAUUACACGAAGGAACAUGAUGCCAUUAAAUCCAAUUUUAGUGGUUGAAAUUUUUGACGUAUGGGGUAUCGACUUCAUGGGACCCUUUCCCCCAUCUUUUGGCCAUCAAUACAUAUUGGUUGCUGUUGACUACGUAUCAAAAUGGGUAGAAGCAAUUCCAUGUAGGACCAAUGAUCACAAGGUGGCGAUAGCAUUUUUGAAAAGCAACAUUGUUUCACGCUUUGGAUUCCCUCGAGCAAUAAUUAGUGAUGGUGGUGCCCACUUUUGUAACAAAGCAUUCAAAGCUCUUUUGACAAAGUAUUCAAUCACACACAAAGUGACGACCCUGUAUCAUCCGCAAACCAGUGGCCAAGUUGAGAUCUCCAAUCGAGAAAUAAAGCACAUAUUAGAAAAGACGGUGAGGCCGGACAGAAAAGAUUGGUCAUUAAGACUUGAUGAUGCCUUAUGGGCAUAUAGAACGGCUUUCAAGACCCCGAUUGGGAUGUCACCCUACAGGCUAGUGUAUGGAAAAGCUUGCCACCUACCUGUGGAACUCGAGCAUCGUGCAUAUUGGGCCAUCAAGAAAUUCAAUUUUGACAUGCAGCAAGCCAGCUCAGAAAGAAGAUUACAGCUGGCAGAACUUGAAGAAAUUCGCAAUGAUGCAUACGAAAAUGCCAAGAUUUACAAGCAACGAAUGAAAGUCUUCCAUGAUAAGCAAAUUAUGAGAAAAUCAUUCACUCCAGGUCAGAAAGUGCUUUUAUUCAAUUCUCGCUUGCACCUAUUCCCAGGUAAGUUACGCUCUCGUUGGUCUGGCCCAUUUAUUGUUCAUACUGUUUUUCCACAUGGGGCAAUUGAAAUUAAGGAUCCAAAGAAUGGUGUCACGUUUAAAGUUAAUGGUCAAAGAUUAAAGCCAUAUCUAGAGUACCAACCACAUGGAGAAGACACCGAAAUAAAUUUGAGUGACCCACCAGAUUUGAAUUGAUUUUUUUUUCUCUUCUUUUCGUUGAUUUGAUUUUUUUUUCUUUAUAUUAUUCUUCUGCUAAUUGAAAUUAUUUUUGCAUAAGUGUGUUUGUUUAACUAUUAAAUUUUCUUUUAUCGUUUUUAAUCAUGAGUACCUUACUUAGACCGUUCCUUCUGAACAUUCUUAAACCACUUCAACGUGUCAAACUUCAUCUCAAAAGGCAGAUUCAAUUUUGUAAAACACAUCGCAUUUGGGCUCUACAACCACCAGAGUUAGUAGCCUAUGUUGAGGGUUUAGAAAGCCAACUCAGAGACAUUAAGAGAAGUGUUUACGACAUCCAGUUGGAGCUUGAGGUAAAUUCAAUAAGAGGACGAUUUUAAUUUUCUUUGUGUGUUUUAAUUUGUUUUUCUGUUUGUGUGCUUUAGUUUGUUACCCCGGUGAAGUGGCGGAUAACGGUACUCCGUGACAAUCAAGUCGGUUACUUCAGUUUCCCAUAAUAAUUGAUAUUCUGAGGUGAAGGUAUGGACAGAAACGAGAUUCUAGCGAAACUUCACAAGCGAUUCCCUUCACUUCCUCAGAAUGCCCUCCUUACGAUCUAUAAAGCUCGGUCCGAACGCAUGUGAUUACUCAUGAGGAAUAACAUACCUGCUGACAUCCGUUGGUUAAUCGAGGCUAAAGUACGAUCGGCAGGUGAGUUACCUCCAAAAUUUAUUGCAUACAUGCCUGGUUGUGGUAAAGGAAAUUAUGCAAGAAAACGACGAGCUCGAAGAAUUUCUGUUGCUUGUCAUAAGUGUGCCAGAAUGAGUUGCAAUAAAAACCCAUGUUCUUUAGGAAUGAUGUCUGAUAACAGGGAAGAUAAGAUUCAAUUCAUUAGGGAUGGCUUGAAUAAGGAGUCAUUGGAUGAUAUCCUUUUGUCUCUUGAAACUCAUCCCAGUGGAUAUGUGCAAGGAGCGAUUCUCCAGUUAUGGCCAUUAUUCCAGAAAGAGCAUGCACGAUAUAGUCUUGGGAAUCUGACUAUAAACGACCCUGUUUGCCAGUUUAUAAGAAAACUGGAUAGGAAGCCUAUCCUCGACCCAUAGAGGGCGUUCAAGCCGUUUCUGGACGUAAAACCAGAGGAAGAUGUGAGCCACAGUCGCAACUACCUGUAAAUAUCCUUUCCCUUUACUGUUAUUUUAUUUCACUAUUGUUUUAUUGUGUGCAUUAUUGUCUUUAAAAAUUUUAUUACUGUUUGCUUUUUCCUUAUUACUGUUUUCUUUUUUCCUUUUACUGUUUCCUUUUUGACUAGCGAGCCACAUGCUUUACGCGUUAUUUGACACUGACAUGUUACCUCAUACACAACUGUGAUCCACUGUCACCAAGAUUCUUAAAUGUGAUUUCCUUUUUGUCAAGCACUCACAAAUUGUUUUCAAGAAGUAUCACAAUGGCAGCUACUCCCAAUAGACAAUUCAAGAACAUUUGUGUGCUUUCUGGAUUUACCUAUGGCAAACAUAAAGAGUUCGUUGAGGCAGCUAUAGAUCUUGGUUGAAGCAUAGCAGCGAGAAAAUUACACUUGGUGUAUGGAGGAGGUAACCGAGGGUUAUCAAAAAUGGUCUCAGAAGCAGCUUUUAUCAGAGGAAGUCAAGUGUUAGGCAUCAUCCCAAGAGUCCUAAAACCAUUGGGCAGUUCGUCUGACUCAUCAAUUGUAGAAGAGUUAGUCGUCUCAGGUAUGCAAGAAAGAAUAACUGAAAUGCUUAAUCAUGCUGAUGCUUUUAUUUUCCUUCCAGGAGAUCUUGCAACACUAGAGGCACUUAUCACACUAGCAUCUUGGGCCCAUCUGCACAUCCACCAGAAACCCAUCGGUUUGUUAACUGUCAAUAACUUUUAUGAUGGCUUUAUCGCAUUUCUUAACCAUGCAAUAAAAAACUAUUUCAUUCAUUCUAAUGUGAAAAAACUUUUUAUUUGUGCUCACACUGCUAAUGAGCUACUUGAUCUGUUACAAGCUUAUAAAUCGGAGCCAGACCCCUGGACCUUUGUGUUGGAGCAUCCAUAUAAUGAUGGUAACAGUAGCCGCGGUAAGAAGUACAAAUUAGAUUUAACUCUCCGCUUGUAAAUAUUGUUUUCUGUGUUGCACCACCCAGGUGAUGUCUUCUAAACUCUACUUCUUUCAUUUCAAACAUUGAGGACAAUGUUUCGUUCUGGUUGGGGGGAGGGAAUAAUCGACAAUUGUGGAAUUUUGGUUAAGUUUUUACUAAUUGUUUUGUUGUAGAAACUAACUGUUGCUAACUUUUGUGUUGAAGAUGGCUGAAUAUGGAGUGUAGUGACUCUAGAAACACAUCUUCAUCGUUUUAAAAAAAAAUUAAAAAAAAAACUUAAAAAAAAAAUUCAGACAUUUUCUUUUUCUUUAUUAUGUGUUUAUGUUUAUUUUUCUUCUUUUUAAUUUCUCCUCUAUAAAUAUACAUUUUCCAACUUUUGAGUCGAAGAUGGCUGAAUAUGGAGUGUAGUUCCUCUAGAAACGCAUCUUCUUAAAAAAAAAAAAUCAUUUUCGUUUUCUAUUAUUUUACGUGUAACUUUUCUAUUUAGUUUUUAUGCAUCAUUUUCACAUUUCUGCAUGCAUAUUUUCGUUUCAUGUUUAGAAUAGGUUGGGGGAUAGAAUGUUGUUUAAAAAAAAAAAAAAACUUUUUGUGAUUUGUUUUAACAUUGGAUGACAUGAUUAAUUUCAAAUUUUAAUAUUUGUAUUAUCUUUGGUCUUAAGUGAUGUUACGCUAUGUUUGCUACUUUACAUGUUGAUGUCGGAGACAAAUGUGAGUUGCUUGAAGGAAUGAACAUGUCAUAAUAAGUACCAAGUGAGUUUUUGAGCCUAUUAUUUUUCUUGGAGAAUAACCCUUUUGCCUACUCUUUAUACAGCUCAGCAGUUUAUUAUUUUACACACGAUCUCUAAAUUGCUUUUGAGUUAACCCUUAAAACAAAAUUGUAAAAUAAAAAAAAAGAAAAAAAGAGUGUGUUGCUACAUUUGGAGGCCCAUCUAACUAGUAGAUAUGGAAGAUUAUUUAGAGCCCUAAAAGACGAUGGAAAGACCAUCUUUGAUCCGUUUGAGCCUUUCUAGCCAUCCCUUUUAUCAAAUAUCCAUAGUUAACCCUUUUGAGCCUUUAAAAAAAAAAAAAACCUUUUUCUUUGUCAACUUAUCAUCUUGACCCACUCCAAUUUGGAGUAUUACCCAAUGUCUUAUAAGUUACAUCACCUAUUUAUGUUUGAGAAAAUGUAAAUAAUUAUGUUGUUCAGUAAAGUUAUGCCAAAAAAAAAUAAAAAAUAAAAGUUGUUGUUUCAAAAGAAAAAAAAAUAAAAAUAAUAGGUGAAAUCCACCUUGCAACGUCCAAAAAAAAAAAAAAUCUCUGCAUUUUUCUCAAACAUACACUUUGUUUUCCUUAUUUUCCUUCUUUGUUAGCCAUGUCCCUAGCCUACGUUACGUCCUAAUAAAAGUCCUUGAUUUUAGGGAACUAUAGUUUGAAGUAGAAGCUAGUUAUAUGGGCUAAAAAGAUGUAGUGAUGCAGAAUAAAAAAAAAAGAAGAUAAAUAAAGUGGGUUGACUAGCAUUUUUAUUUGACUUGAGUUCGUAUUAUUUAUAAACUGAGGGCAUAUUUAUUUCAUCUUGGUGAGAGCAUGUGAUAUCACUUCUUUAUUAUUUUCUCUCUCAAUUACCAUUCAUUGGAGUGACUAUUUUUAUUGGUUUUAAUUUCUUUGUGAGAGUGUCACUACUUCCAGUGAGAUUUUGGGGUUUGACAUGUCAUUCUUGAAAGUAGCUAUGACAAAGUCUACUGGGCUGAUUCAUGUGGAUGGUUGAUGUGGGUGUGAUGUUGCUUUAGACUGGAGAUAAUGCUUAUACUUUUAUUUGAUUGCCAUCAUUAAUCUGACGGAAUAAAUACGAGUGUUUCUAUUAAAAAAAAAUAUUUUGAAUUUGAAUUUUGUUUUCGCUUUAUUUGCUAGGGACUAGCAAUAAGCUGGUUGGGGGGUGUUUGAGUGUUAGAAAAUGCAUAUUUAUAAAGGAGAAAACCGUCAUUUUACAUUUCAAGUCUGACUAACAACCCUUACUUUUAUGUAUUUAACCUUAUUGUGAUUUAAUUAUAUGUGUUUUAUUUUAAUUAAGUAUUUUAUGUAUUUUAGGGGCAUUAUAGUCAUUUUACAAUAAAAGAGAGAUCAGACGGCAAAACGGACAUCAGUUUUGAACUCAGGACGGUCGAAAACCUUAGGAGGAGCAUAAAAGGAAAAAUGACACUAUUCAUAUGUACGGUACUAUUCACGUGUACGGUACUAACUACGUUACUGUUCACAGCACUGUUCACAUAGACGGAUCGAUGACGUGGCAUUGACCGAUGAUGUGGCAUUGACUGAUGAGGUGUCACGAUCCUGUUGGGCUAAAAUUCUUAUGUACUGUUGAUGGUGACGUGGCAGCAUAUCAGUGGAUGAAAAAUCUCGCGUACGGUACAUGCAUCACACAGGAUUAUUUUCAACCAAACCGCGUUACUGUUCAUCCAAGUCAAACCGUGUUACUGUUCAUCCGAGUCAAACCGUGUUACUGUUCAUCCGCGUGGUCAAACCGUGGACUGUUGACUGAUGACGUGGCGCAAUCCUGAGCGUCAAAACUGUUUUUAAUCCGAUGGCCAUGAUUUACUCCAUGUAUCUAUAAAAAGGGGGCCUCCCCCCUUAAUUUGAUAUCUCUGAAUCCAUUUUUGGGAUCCAUUUUCUGUAAUUCCUUCUCCAUCUUGUAUUUUCUUUGUAUUUUAAUAAAUUCCCAUUUUGCCCCUAGUUCAAUUAUGAGUGGCUAAUUUUCUUUCAAGCUUGGAUUGAAGGUGAGGUCUCAACAUGUGUCAUGAGCUUAAUUUGGUAAAUUUAUUUUCUCUUCCCCUCUAGUUUUUGUAGAUGUUUUGACUUCUCGUCGACAAAUAAUACUAAUCUUGUCUAGUACCGCCUUGGUUUCACCAGCCCUCUAGUACAAGGUUAUUAUUAUUUGGCACAAUAAGCCCUUAGCACCAUAUUGAUUAGAGCGUGGUUCAUGAGGUGUAGAUUCCCCCCUCAUGAUUUAAUUGGCAUUAAUACGGAUUAUUUAGCCCAUGAUGCAUGUUGAUACGGAUCCAGAUACCCAAGUACGUCAUUUCAAUAGAAUUCUCUUCAAUUUAUUCUCGCCAUUGCAAUUCCAAUUUUAGAAUUUAUUAUCGCCAUCUCAAUUCCAAUUUUAGGAUAAUUUAAAUCAUUUCCACCACAAUUUCAACCACCCAUUUACAAAAUUAAUUCUACAUAUAAUUAAAAUCCACCUCCUCGUGAGAUCGACACUCGUCACCAUUGAUCUAUACUACAAUAGAUUCGUGCGCUUGCGAGUACAUUAAAAUUUGCACAACAGUUGUAAGAUGAAGUUAUUUUACAUAUUUUUGCACUCCCUCAACAACCCUAAAUGGUCUCUAAAUAUAAGUAAAAUGUUUGAAACUACAUAAAGUAUGCAUAAUACUUAAAAUUAGAUAUA
Molecule: long non-coding RNA, 11714 nt
Filed under: Citrus x clementina
Lineage: Eukaryota; Viridiplantae; Streptophyta; Magnoliopsida; Sapindales; Rutaceae
Description: Citrus clementina (C. clementina) long non-coding RNA (CCLE_LNC003385)
Source: RNAcentral